RNAcentral lists this ribosomal RNA (253 nucleotides) under uncultured bacterium. RNAcentral describes it as "partial 16S ribosomal RNA". It matches the Rfam family "Bacterial small subunit ribosomal RNA", at positions 524 to 776 of the family's 1533-position model. The record is from RNAcentral.
UACGAAGGGGACUAGCGUUGUUCGGAAUCACUGGGCGUAAAGCGCGCGUAGGCGGCUUUGUAAGUCAGGGGUGAAAUCCCGGGGCUCAACCUCGGAACUGCCUUUGAUACUGCGAGUCUUGAGUCCGAUAGAGGUGGGUGGAAUUCCUAGUGUAGAGGUGAAAUUCGUAGAUAUUAGGAAGAACACCAGUGGCGAAGGCGGCCCACUGGAUCGGUACUGACGCUGAGGUGCGAAAGCGUGGGGAGCAAACAGG